Molecule: ribosomal RNA, 250 nt
Filed under: uncultured bacterium
Lineage: Bacteria
Description: partial 16S ribosomal RNA
Rfam family: Bacterial small subunit ribosomal RNA
Source: RNAcentral
UACGUAGGGACCAAGCGUUGUUCGGAUUUACUGGGCGUAAAGCGCACGUAGGCGGCAGCACAAGUCAAAGGUGAAAGCCCUCGGCUCAACUGAGGAACUGCCUUUGAAACUGCGUUGCUUGAGUCCGGGAGGGGAGAGCGGAAUUCCCAGUGUAGCGGUGAAAUGCGUAGAUACUGGGAGGAACACCGGUGGCGAAGGCGGCUCUCUGGACCGGCACUGACGCUGAGGUGCGAAAGCGUGGGGAGCAAAC